This 406-nucleotide ribosomal RNA is filed under the name uncultured bacterium. RNAcentral's name for it is "partial 16S ribosomal RNA". It matches the Rfam family "Bacterial small subunit ribosomal RNA", at positions 29 to 526 of the family's 1533-position model. The record is from RNAcentral.
AUUGAACGCUGGCGGCAGGCCUAACACAUGCAAGUCGAGCGAGCGGCGGACGGGUGUGUAAUGUCUGGGAACCUGCCUGAUGGAGGGGGAUAACUACUGGACACGGUAGCUAAUACCGCAUACCAUCAGAUGUGCCCAGAUGGGAUUAGCUAGUGGGUGGGGUAACGGCUCACCUAGGCGACGAUCCCUAGCUGGUCUGAGAGGAUGACCAGCCACACUGGAACUGAGGCACGGUCCAGACUCCUACGGGAGGCGGCGGAGGGGAAUAUUGCACAAGGGGCGCAAGCCGGAUGCAGCCAGGCCGCGUGGAGGAAGAAGGCCUUCGGGUUGUAAAGUACUUUCAGCGGGGAGGCGUUACCCGCAGAAGAAGCACCGGCUAACUCCGUGCCAGCAGCCGCGGUAAUUC